RNAcentral lists this ribosomal RNA (253 nucleotides) under uncultured bacterium. RNAcentral's name for it is "partial 16S ribosomal RNA". It matches the Rfam family "Bacterial small subunit ribosomal RNA", at positions 524 to 776 of the family's 1533-position model. The record is from RNAcentral.
CACGUAGGGCGCAAGCGUUGUCCGGAAUUAUUGGGCGUAAAGGGCGCGUAGGCGGUUUGACAAGUCUGAUGUGAAAUCUAUGGGCUCAACCCAUGGCCUGCAUUAGAAACUGUCGGGCUUGAGUAUGGGAGAGGUGAGUGGAAUUUCCGGUGUAGCGGUGAAAUGCGUAGAUAUCGGAAGGAACACCUGUGGCGAAAGCGGCUCACUGGACCAUAACUGACGCUGAGGCGCGAAAGCUAGGGGAGCAAACAGG